RNAcentral lists this ribosomal RNA (483 nucleotides) under uncultured bacterium. RNAcentral's name for it is "partial 16S ribosomal RNA". It matches the Rfam family "Bacterial small subunit ribosomal RNA", at positions 28 to 507 of the family's 1533-position model. The record is from RNAcentral.
AUUGAACGCUGGCGGCAUGCUUUACACAUGCCAGUCGAACGGCAGCGCGGGCUUCGGCCUGGCGGCGAGUGGCGAACGGGUGAGUAAUGCAUCGGAACGUGCCCAGUAGUGGGGGAUAGCCCGGCGAAAGCCGGAUUAAUACCGCAUACGACCUGAGGGUGAAAGCGGGGGACCGAAAGGCCUCGCGCUAUUGGAGCGGCCGAUGUCGGAUUAGCUAGUUGGUGGGUAAAGGCUUACCAAGGCGACGAUCCGUAGCUGGUCUGAGAGGACGACCAGCCACACUGGGACUGAGACACGGCCCAGACUCCUACGGGAGGCAGCAGUGGGGAAUUUUGGACAAUGGGGGCAACCCUGAUCCAGCCAUGCCGCGUGCGGGAAGAAGGCCUUCGGGUUGUAAACCGCUUUUGUUCGGGAAGAAAUCCUCUGGGCUAAUACCCCGGGGGGAUGACGGUACCGGAAGAAUAAGCACCGGCUAACUACGUG